Molecule: long non-coding RNA, 862 nt
Filed under: Sorghum bicolor (sorghum)
Lineage: Eukaryota; Viridiplantae; Streptophyta; Magnoliopsida; Poales; Poaceae
Description: long non-coding RNA (SBIC_LNC001248)
Source: RNAcentral
AAUUUCAUAUCAUCACUAAAAAAAUGUGAUGCCAUAUGUUAAAUCAUUGCUCUAACAUUUACGACCCUCGUGUGCCACUUGCGUUAAUAUGUUAUCCAAUAAGGCAAUAAGGUGGUGGUGGAAAAGAUAAUUUUAUGCUCACCGUUGUCUUCUCAUCUCACCAUCGUCCUGUUCGCUUGAGUUUAUCUGUCCAAUCUUCUAGCCAUUUAACAGUGUUUUUCGCUUACAAUAAAUCAGUGAAUAGUACGCUUAGCCAUGACUUAUCAGCCAAACGAUAUCUCGUAUUGACUCAAAUUUCGUAACUUACCAAAGUAUAAUAAAGCCGCAUUGUAGCUUUCUCCUCAUCUUUGCCCUCCAAGUCAGAUCCAAAGGUUGUCCUUCAUCCCAGCUUACAAGGCAUCUUUCAGUCACUGCCUUUGGUAUGUGCAGUCAACAAACACUGCUGUAAUUCCAAAACAAAAAAAAAGUAAAGAAAAAAACACUGCCAUAGACCGUUGUAUGCAAUGCAAACACGUUUUGUUGUGGCACGCCGCCUCAACACUACGGUAUAAUUAAUAUCCAUAAAAAUUACAAUAGAUUUUUUUGCUUUCACAUAAUAGUUUUGUUUCACCCGCGAGCAAAGACGACUUAAUUACGAUUUUAAUAUUCUCCUAGCCAUCCAUAGACCUCUCGAGCAUGGUUUCACGACACAAUAAAGUCGUCUCAAUCUUGUAGUCUCCCGUAGGAUCAUCAAUUAUCAUAUUUUUUUUCUAGUAGUAGAUUUGGCUUGAUUGGACCAAACUGAGUAAUAGGAUUCUUCAAUUCUAAAGUGUUGAUUAGGAAGGUCCUUGUAUCAACCUGCAUUUAAUAUAUACUCAAUCGU